RNAcentral lists this ribosomal RNA (305 nucleotides) under uncultured bacterium. RNAcentral's name for it is "bacterial SSU rRNA". It matches the Rfam family "Bacterial small subunit ribosomal RNA", at positions 337 to 634 of the family's 1533-position model. The record is from RNAcentral.
ACCUACGGGGGGCAGCAGUAGGGAAUCUUCCACAAUGGGCGAAAGCCUGAUGGAGCAACGCCGCGUGGGUGAAGAAGGUCUUCGGAUCGUAAAACCCUGUUGUUAGAGAAGAAAGUACGUGAGAGUAACUGUUCACGUUUCGACGGUAUCUAACCAGAAAGCCACGGCUAACUACGUGCCAGCAGCCGCGGUAAUACGUAGGUGGCAAGCGUUAUCCGGAUUUAUUGGGCGUAAAGGGAACGCAGGCGGUCUUUUAAGUCUGAUGUGAAAGCCUUCGUCUUAACCGGAGUAGUUCAUUGGAAACU